UGCAAGUCGAACGAUGAAGCCCUUCGGGGUGGAUUAGUGGCGAACGGGUGAGUAACACGUGGGCAAUCUGCCCUUCACUCUGGGACAAGCCCUGGAAACGGGGUCUAAUACCGGAUAACACUCUGUCCCGCAUGGGACGGGGUUAAAAGCUCCGGCGGUGAAGGAUGAGCCCGCGGCCUAUCAGCUUGUUGGUGGGGUAAUGGCCUACCAAGGCGACGACGGGUAGCCGGCCUGAGAGGGCGACCGGCCACACUGGGACUGAGACACGGCCCAGACUCCUACGGGAGGCAGCAGUGGGGAAUAUUGCACAAUGGGCGAAAGCCUGAUGCAGCGACGCCGCGUGAGGGAUGACGGCCUUCGGGUUGUAAACCUCUUUCAGCAGGGAAGAAGCGAAAGUGACGGUACCUGCAGAAGAAGCGCCGGCUAACUACGUGCCAGCAGCCGCGGUAAUACGUAGGGCGCAAGCGUUGUCCGGAAUUAUUGGGCGUAAAGAGCUCGUAGGCGGCUUGUCACGUCGGAUGUGAAAGCCCGGGGCUUANCCCCGGGUCUGCAUUCGAUACGGGCUAGCUAGAGUGUGGUAGGGGAGAUCGNAUUNCUGGUGUAGCGGUGAAUGCGCAGAUAUCAGGAGGAACACCGGUGGCGAAGGCGGAUCUCUGGGCCUUACUGACNCUGAGNACNAAAGCGNGGGGAGCGACAGGAUAGAUACCCUGGUAGUCCCGCCGUAA
RNAcentral lists this ribosomal RNA (725 nucleotides) under Streptomyces sp. ABR-59. RNAcentral's name for it is "bacterial SSU rRNA". It matches the Rfam family "Bacterial small subunit ribosomal RNA", at positions 56 to 805 of the family's 1533-position model. The record is from RNAcentral. Lineage: Bacteria; Bacillati; Actinomycetota; Actinomycetes; Kitasatosporales; Streptomycetaceae.